UAAUAAGUGUUUUAUGGCACUUUUUAAAUCCAUAUCCACCUUGUGUGCAAUGUCAGUCGAUCUUCUUCAUGGAGAUCGACCAAACAUCAACCUUUAUCUUUUAACUCUUUGUCUGAAAAAUAUUAUGAAUCAACAAUUCAAAAUA
Molecule: unclassified non-coding RNA, 145 nt
Filed under: soil metagenome
Description: partial internal transcribed spacer 1
Source: RNAcentral